RNAcentral lists this RNase P RNA (300 nucleotides) under human gut metagenome. RNAcentral describes it as "Bacterial RNase P class A". It matches the Rfam family "Bacterial RNase P class A", at positions 37 to 358 of the family's 367-position model. Rfam says of the family: Ribonuclease P (RNase P) is a ubiquitous endoribonuclease, found in archaea, bacteria and eukarya as well as chloroplasts and mitochondria. Its best characterised activity is the generation of mature 5'-ends of tRNAs by cleaving the 5'-leader elements of precursor-tRNAs. RNAcentral also lists the same sequence under 1 other name. The record is from RNAcentral.
AUAUGCGAGGAAAGUCCGGGCACCACAGAGCAGAGCGCCGGCUAAUUACCGGUAAAGGCGACUUUAAGGAAAGUGCAACAGAAAUAAACCGCAGCAAAUGCUGUAAGGGUGGAAAUGUGAGGUAAGAGCUCACAAACUCUUUGGCGACUGAGAGUUCAUGUAAACCCCGCUCGGUGCAAGAUAGAGACUGAAAAAGGGCUGCUCGUCCGUCUCGUUAUUUCGCUGGAGCUUACCGGCAACGGUAAGCCGAGAUAGAUAAUCGCCGCGCCGCAUGGCGUACAGAACCCGGCUUACAGAUUG